GUCACAUUAGUUAGUUGGUGGGGUAAUGGCCUACCAAGACGAUGAUGUGUAGCCGGGCUGAGAGGUCGAACGGCCACAUUGGGACUGAGACACGGCCCAAACUCCUACGGGAGGCAGCAGUAAGGAAUUUUCGGCAAUGGAGGAAACUCUGACCGAGCAAUGCCGCGUGAACGAUGAAGUAUUUCGGUACGUAAAGUUCUUUUAUUAGGGAAGAAAAGAUGGUGGAAAAACCAUUAUGACGGUACCUAAUGAAUAAGCCCCGGCUAACUAUGUGCCAGCAGCCGCGGUAAUACAUAGGGGGCAAGCGUUAUCCGGAAUUAUUGGGCGUAAAGGGUGCGUAGGCGGUUAAAUAAGUUUAUGGUCUAAGUGCAACGCUCAACGUUGUGAUGCUAUAAAAACUGUUUAGCUAGAGUUGGAUAGAGGCAAGUGGAAUUCCGUGUGUAGUGGUAAAAUGCGUAAAUAUACGGAGGAACACCAGAAGCGAAGGCGGCUUGCUGGGUCUUAACUGACGCUGAGGCACGAAAGCGUGGGGAGCAAACAGGAUUAGAUACCCUGGUAGUCCACGCCCUAAACGAUGAGUACUAAACGUUGGAUAAAACCAGUGUUGAAGUUAACACAUUAAGUACUCCGCCUGAGUAGUACGUACGCAAGUAUGAAACUUAAAGGAAUUGACGGGACUCCGCACAAGCGGUGGAUCAUGUUGUUUAAUUCGAAGGUACCCGAAAAACCUCACCAGGUCUUGACAUGCUUUUGCAAAGCUGUAGAAAUACAGUGGAGGUUAUCAGAAGCACAGGUGGUGCAUGGUUGUCGUCAGCUCGUGUCGUGAGAUGUUGGGUUAAGUCCCGCAACGAGCGCAACCCUUGUUGUUAAUUGCCAUCAUUAAGUUGGGGACUUUAGCAAGACUGCCAAUGAUAAAUUGGAGGAAGGUGGGGACGACGUCAAAUCAUCAUGCCCCUUAUGACCUGGGCUACAAACGUGAUACAAUGGCUGUUACAAAGGGUAGCUAAAGCGUAAGCUUUUGGCGAAUCUCAAAAAAGCAGUCUCAGUUCGGAUUGAAGUCUGCAACUCGACUUCAUGAAGUUGGAAUCGCUAGUAAUCGC
This 1100-nucleotide ribosomal RNA is filed under the name Candidatus Phytoplasma solani. RNAcentral describes it as "bacterial SSU rRNA". It matches the Rfam family "Bacterial small subunit ribosomal RNA", at positions 235 to 1345 of the family's 1533-position model. Lineage: Bacteria; Bacillati; Mycoplasmatota; Mollicutes; Acholeplasmatales; Acholeplasmataceae. The record is from RNAcentral.